RNAcentral lists this long non-coding RNA (959 nucleotides) under Pan troglodytes (chimpanzee). RNAcentral's name for it is "lincRNA". Lineage: Eukaryota; Metazoa; Chordata; Mammalia; Primates; Hominidae. The record is from RNAcentral.
CGGUGUCAGCCUUUUCUUUCCUUGCUUUAACUCAGACCUACUGAACCACCUCUCUGUUGAAAUACCACGAAGGAGAAGAAAUAAGCAUCUAAGGUGAUAAACAUCUGUCUCUUAUCAGGAUAAGACACUGAAAAUGUUAUUAUUAUGGAAGUAUCUUCAUUAUGAAAGACUCUUCACAUCAACACGAUGGUGAUUACUCGUUUGCAGUUACCCUCCCAGUAUUGCCCAUGGACACUACAAGGAAGUUAUUUUAAUAACUCCUUAUCCUGAGGCUACAUAUGAAUGUGAUGAAGGAUAUGUUUUGGCUGGAUUUGCUACAAUCUACUGCAAGUCUUUUCACUGGCAACAUGCACCUCCUCAAUGUAAAGCUCUGUGUCUGAAACCAGAAAUAGUGAAUGGAAGGCUGUCUGUGGAUAAGGAUCAGUAUGUUGAGUCUGAAAAUGUUACCAUUGAAUGUGAUUCUGGCUAUGGUGUGGUUGGUCUCAAAAGUAUCACUUGCUCAGAGAAGAGAACCUGGUACCCAGAAGUGCCCAGGUGUGAGUGGGAGGCACCUGAAGGUUGUGAGCAAGUGCUCACAGGCAGAAAACUCAUGCAGUGUCUCCCAAGCCCAGAGGAUGUGAAAGUGGCCCUGGAGGUGUAUAAGCUGUCUCUGGAGAUUAAACAACUUGAAAAAGAGAGAGACAAAUUGAUGAACACCCAUCAGAAAUUUUCUGAAAAAGAGGAAAUGAAGGACUUAUUUUUCCCUUCAAAUCAACAUACAGAAUCUUCAUUCAUCCACCCUACUCUUCCUUGAGCACCAUCACUCUCAUAAGGGUCUGGGCUAGGAGAACUUUCUUAUUACUGCCAGAGAAAAUGUGUAAUUAUUGGUAAUUAGAUUAUUGGUAAUCUAGCCUUUUGUAGCUCAAAUGUCCAGUUUCCUGGACUUGAAGUGCUGGUUAAUUAAAUAAUUAUUUACCAAA